Molecule: ribosomal RNA, 480 nt
Filed under: uncultured Bifidobacterium sp.
Lineage: Bacteria; Bacillati; Actinomycetota; Actinomycetes; Bifidobacteriales; Bifidobacteriaceae
Description: bacterial SSU rRNA
Rfam family: Bacterial small subunit ribosomal RNA
Source: RNAcentral
CUCCAGUUGGAUGCAUGUCCUUCUGGGAAAGAUUCUAUCGGUAUGGGAUGGGGUCGCGUCCUAUCAGCUUGAUGGCGGGGUAACGGCCCACCAUGGCUUCGACGGGUAGCCGGCCUGAGAGGGCGACCGGCCACAUUGGGACUGAGAUACGGCCCAGACUCCUACGGGAGGCAGCAGUGGGGAAUAUUGCACAAUGGGCGCAAGCCUGAUGCAGCGACGCCGCGUGCGGGAUGACGGCCUUCGGGUUGUAAACCGCUUUUGACUGGGAGCAAGCCCUUCGGGGUGAGUGUACCUUUCGAAUAAGCACCGGCUAACUACGUGCCAGCAGCCGCGGUAAUACGUAGGGUGCAAGCGUUAUCCGGAAUUAUUGGGCGUAAAGGGCUCGUAGGCGGUUCGUCGCGUCCGGUGUGAAAGUCCAUCGCUUAACGGUGGAUCCGCGCCGGGUACGGGCGGGCUUGAGUGCGGUAGGGGAGACUGGAA